RNAcentral lists this ribosomal RNA (484 nucleotides) under uncultured bacterium. Its description in RNAcentral is "partial 16S ribosomal RNA". It matches the Rfam family "Bacterial small subunit ribosomal RNA", at positions 30 to 507 of the family's 1533-position model. The record is from RNAcentral.
AUUGAACGCUGGCGGAAUGCUUUACACAUGCAAGUCGAGCGGCAGCGCGGCCUUCGGGCUGGCGGCGAGCGGCGAACGGGUGAGUAAUGCAUCGGAACAUGCCCAGUCGUGGGGGAUAACACUUCGAAAGAAGUGCUAAUACCGCAUACGUCCUGAGGGUGAAAGCGGGGGAUCGCAAGACCUCGCGCGAUUGGAGUGGCCGAUGUCAGAUUAGCUAGUUGGUGGGGUAAAGGCCUACCAAGGCGACGAUCUGUAGCUGGUCUGAGAGGAUGAUCAGCCACACUGGGACUGAGACACGGCCCAGACUCCUACGGGAGGCAGCAGUGGGGAAUUUUGGACAAUGGGGGCAACCCUGAUCCAGCCAUUCCGCGUGAGUGAAGAAGGCCUUCGGGUUGUAAAGCUCUUUCGGCAGGAACGAAACGGUGGGCUCUAACAUAGUCCGCUAAUGACGGUACCUGAAGAAGAAGCACCGGCUAACUACGUG